Molecule: RNA transcript, 1737 nt
Organism: Zalophus californianus (California sea lion)
Lineage: Eukaryota; Metazoa; Chordata; Mammalia; Carnivora; Otariidae
Gene: BOD1
Gene name: biorientation of chromosomes in cell division 1
Exons: 4
Source: RefSeq, a predicted model, not a curated record
CCCGCAAACCAGCGCCAAGCGAGCGGGAGCCUGCCGGGAGUUGUAGUUUCCGUCAGCCAGACCUCUACCUAUAAGAAAGGCUGAGAUGACUGCCGAAAACUUCCCGCCCCACAAUGCAAAGGCCAUUGGUGACGUCAUCUGCAGAGCGCCCGGGAUGGAGCAGGCCGUUCCUACUACCGCCGCUGCAUCAGAGCCUGCCUCCGCCGCCGCCGCCGCCGCCGCCCCCGCCCCCUCCCCCUCCCUCCCCUCCUCUCCCGUCGCCGCCUUCUUGGGCGCUUCUGCCACCUCUACACGAUCCAGGCCCUCUGUCCCUGAGAAGAAGUCGUGUUCAGUUUCCUUUGUGGGCCCAGGGCGCAGCCAUGGCGGACGGCGGAGGCGGCGGGGGCACGGGCUCGGUGGGUGGCGGCGGAGCGGGCCAGGCCUCGGCGGGGUCGGCGACAGGCGCGACGGGGGCCGGUGGGAGCGGCGGCCCCAUCAACCCGGCCUCACUGCCUCCCGGCGACCCACAGCUCAUCGCUCUCAUCGUGGAGCAGCUCAAGAGCCGGGGCUUGUUUGACAGCUUCCGCCGGGACUGCCUGGCGGACGUGGACACCAAGCCAGCUUACCAAAACUUGAGGCAGAAGGUGGAUAAUUUUGUGUCAACACAUCUGGACAAGCAGGAAUGGAAUCCUACAAUGAACAAAAACCAGUUGCGAAAUGGUCUGAGGCAGAGUGUGGUUCAGUCAGGGAUGUUGGAAGCUGGAGUGGACAGAAUCAUUUCUCAAGUGGUGGAUCCCAAACUAAACCACAUCUUCAGACCACAGAUAGAAAGAGCAAUUCACGAGUUCCUGGCGGCCAAGAAGAAAGAAGCCGUGCCAGCGCCCCCUCCAGAGCCUGAGAGCCAGGACCCCCCAGCUCCCUCCCAGGAUGCUUCCUAAGGUCCAGUAUCCCGUCUUUUGUCCAGGAGCAUUCGUCUCUGGCUUAUAGAUGUAUAAAAUGGAUAGAAAAGGGAAUAUGUCUGACACCUUUUGGAAGCUCCACUGAAUUAACCAUGAAGAAAUGGAUUCAGUUACUUAAGAGGAAAACUUCAGAAUGAAGACAGGCUGAGGGCGUCACUGAUUUCAGCGUUCAGCCUUGACCGUGGGGCAGUGUCCAGAUUGAACAGGCAAUAACAGAGUGGACCGUGUGUGCCCCCUCAUUGUGCUGCCGUCUGGUCAGCCUGCCAAAGGGGGUGACACCCAGUAGACACUACAGAGAUAUAAAGAAACACUACAUCAGUCUGGGGUUGUCCUGAAACAAACCUUUAUACUUGAACUUGGGAGACUGUGUGGAUUUUAGGGUUUGUGCUCGGGGAUCCCUAGAGGGGCUGUAGCUACAGUGAAGGAACGUAACCAGUUCCAAAGACACAAUUUCAAAGAAUGACAGUAAAGGUUAGCAUGGAGUAGGAAUUAGUGCUUAUUUGUCAACUAGAAUGUAUAAGCUGUCAGCACCAACUAGCUCGAAAGUUGUCAUGACCCUCUUGUACAUGAAUCUUGUAACUUCGGUUUCCUUUCCUCUGUAAGAGGUGACAACACAUGGGACCAUAGAAUGUGUGAGGAAGUGCAGACAUGAGGUAGAAAGAAAAACAUCUGCAGGCUGUCUGUCCAGGGCUGCUGCUUAUCCUGCAAGGGCUAGUGAGUCUUGGGUGUGUUUAUUUUAUUCUCACGUUUGUGUUUUUUAGAAAAGUUGAAUGAUCAAUAAAUAGCUUAAGUUUUGUAA